GAUUCUCUCCCAGACCCUAUAAUGUCACAUGUGACAUCUAUAGAACCUAUCUUUAUGGAAGAGGUGACAUGUGUGUUACCAUGUAAGCUUUGUCGUACAGACAGAAUUGAGCUAAUUAUCACCAGAAAACAUUCCCACCCCCCAUGGUGCUGUGCUUAAACACACCUAAAAUAAAUGACACAAUGUGAGACUCUCAAAGUUCAAACUGCCACUGGCUACUGAGUGAGGUUUAGCUAGACUCCAUUCUUGCUUCGAGCAGAUCAACACUCAGCGGGCUGUGGUAUUUGCAGAGACCCCUACAGUCUCCUGGGAAAUGAAGCUCAAGGACAAAGAGGUGGGGAAAUUCUACAGAUUUGCUGGCAGCUUUACCAACAUUAAAAGAGAGAUGAAACAGCUAGUCCAGAAAACACCGGCACAGCUGGAUUACCAGCAUCCUAAUCAUGGAGUCAGAUUUUUGGUAUGACUGGAAGAAUUUAAAGAAGUUUCAGAGAAAGCAUCUAAUUGGUCUGCAGAUCAAAGGGUAGCAUUUCCCAGUGGACUUCUUCCUUCAGCAGCUUCAACAAAUUCUUUAGUGAUAAAAGCCGGCAGUCGGCUAAGGCACAGGCACUGAUCUGCAGUAGGAAUGGAUGUCUUGCAUAUCCAGCCAUCCAAUGUGUGUAUGUGUUUGCUAUAAGAAGAAGGGGCUGGUCUAAACUGGAGCCAGGGAAGAAGGUUACAAUAACAAAUAACACACCUGACUAUGU
Molecule: long non-coding RNA, 743 nt
Organism: Mastomys coucha (southern multimammate mouse)
Lineage: Eukaryota; Metazoa; Chordata; Mammalia; Rodentia; Muridae
Exons: 2
Source: RefSeq, a predicted model, not a curated record